GCGCCCGUAGCUCAGCUGGAUAGAGCGCUGCCCUCCGGAGGCAGAGGCCACAGGUUCGAAUCCUGUCGGGCGUA
This 74-nucleotide transfer RNA is filed under the name Gammaproteobacteria bacterium. Its description in RNAcentral is "tRNA-Arg". It matches the Rfam family "tRNA". From Rfam's summary of the family: Transfer RNA (tRNA) molecules are approximately 80 nucleotides in length. The record is from RNAcentral. RNAcentral also lists the same sequence under 2 other names. Lineage: Bacteria; Pseudomonadati; Pseudomonadota; Gammaproteobacteria.